ACCUUUAGCUCAGUUGGUUAGAGCAAUCGGCUCAUAACCGAUCGGUCAUAGGUUCGAGUCCUAUAAGGUCC
RNAcentral lists this transfer RNA (71 nucleotides) under bovine gut metagenome. It matches the Rfam family "tRNA". From Rfam's summary of the family: Transfer RNA (tRNA) molecules are approximately 80 nucleotides in length. Their secondary structure includes four short double-helical elements and three loops (D, anti-codon, and T loops). Further hydrogen bonds mediate the characteristic L-shaped molecular structure. tRNAs have two regions of fundamental functional importance: the anti-codon, which is responsible for specific mRNA codon recognition, and the 3' end, to which the tRNAs corresponding amino acid is attached (by aminoacyl-tRNA synthetases). tRNAs cope with the degeneracy of the genetic code in two manners: having more than one tRNA (with a specific anti-codon) for a particular amino acid; and 'wobble' base-pairing, i.e. permitting non-standard base-pairing at the 3rd anti-codon position. The record is from RNAcentral.